This 254-nucleotide ribosomal RNA is filed under the name uncultured prokaryote. RNAcentral's name for it is "partial 16S ribosomal RNA". It matches the Rfam family "Bacterial small subunit ribosomal RNA", at positions 524 to 776 of the family's 1533-position model. The record is from RNAcentral.
UACGUAGGGUGCAAGCGUUGUCCGGAUUUAUUGGGCGUAAAGAGCUCGUAGGCGGUUUGGUAAGUCGGGUGUGAAACCUCCAGGCUCAACCUGGAGCCGCCACUCGAUACUGCCAUGACUUGAAUUCGGUAGGGGACCACGGAAUUCCUGGUGUAGCGGUGAAAUGCGCAGAUAUCAGGAGGAACACCAGCAGCGAAGGCGGUGGUCUGGGCCGACAUUGACGCUGAGGAGCGAAAGCGUGGGGAGCGAACAGG